AGGACCUCAUGCACAGUGCCCAGUGACUUACAUCAGAAAAUAUAUCCCUUAAAUCAAAAAUAUAUUUAUUCUCUUCAGCUGCAGUUCUUUAAUCUGCAUUUCAAAGAGAAACACAUGAAUUAAAUGUGAGCUUACACUGUCUUAUUUGGUUAUUAGGCCUUCAACACUCCUUCACACUAGCUCAGCAGGUCUGCAGAUUUUACUGCCACUAAUGUUUUGUUGUAAAUCUGUCCCACAACCUACAAAAUUAAAUACAUUUUAUUUAAUAUAUUGGCCUACUUGAUAAGGAUACAGUCUAACUCCUGUCCUCAUCCCUGUUUAGGAUUUCUAUGACCAAAGUAAAACUCCAUCCAUCACUUGUCCUGGUUGACCCAUAGUAAACAUUAAUAUUAUGAACCUUUGGCCUGGAAUACAACAACAGACAUUACUGAUACAAAUUAAGUUACACAGAAGCUUGACUGAACUAUAAUCAAUUCACAUAGAUCAAAAUCUUGAUUUGAAAUGAUGAGCUAAAUGUGAAGCUGUGAAAAAAAUUGAAUUCGACAAGAAAUGAUGACCUGUUCCAAAUGUUUCUAAAAAAAAAGAAGGAAGAAACUGAGUUUAUUUGGAUUCAUCUGAUGCUCAGGAGAAGGCAGCAGCAGGGAGAAUUUCAUGGUUUGAGAUAGGAGUUCAGCUGUAUCAGGAUCGUUUUCAUGCAUAAUUGAGGAUGCCAGUGGGGCAGUGUAAAGACCGACUCGACACACUGUUAUCUUGAUCACUUUUUUGGAGUGUUUAUUGGCAUUUCACACAUCCAGUUUUGUUUGGUUCAGCACCCGGUUCCACCAACUUUCCAGCUGGUCUCCAGCUCACACUCCUCUCCCUCUGGUCUCAAGCUUCACUAUAAAAAGGAGACUCUUCAUUAGAAAAAUCAUCACCACCUGUCCCACCAUCCUCCUUGAGCUCACUGCACCACCCCUCCACCACCCCUGCAGCUAAGCAAGGGACCACACCUCCACCUCCAUCGCUCAACUGAGGCCAGGAAACCAUCCAGCCAAACCUGCCACCCUGGGAGAGGAAAUCGGUCACAGCCAUCUGCGCCCCUGACAUAUGGACGGCCUUGAAUUUAAAGGGCUCCAAAGACAGAUACCACUGGGUGAUCCGGGGGUUGGCAUCCUUCCUUGCGAUGGAGCCACUGGAGCGGGGCGUCGUCUAAGCAGAGGGUGAAUGAGCGUCCCAGAAGUUAUUACAAAGGUAGCCAGCUGCCCACCAGAUGGCAAGACACUCUUUCUCCACUGUGCUGAUGAUUUUCCCUAUGUCCCUUUAGCUUUACCCACCAAGUUGGAGCAAUUUGACGUCUUCUGAUUUCUAGCAGUUGUUCACCCAUUUCAACUUACAAUACAGACACUGGGGUAGUUUUAAUGGCCAUACAACAGAACCUCAUUGCUUGAUACUGAAUUUUUUUCCAAGUUAUUUAACAAUAUUUUAACCGUCGAACCGUAAACAAAAACACCCGAAAUCUAGAACUGGUCCAAUGAGACCUAUAUAUAAAGCUUCUAAUGCUGUUCUAUCUGCGCCCCAUUCACUGCCUUUUAAACAUCUUAAAAUAUUCAAAACCUUUUUACAUUUCUUAGUUAUUUCCCAAUAUGUGUUUUCCAUGUAAGCCUUUUUAAAAAAAAAAUCAAGCCAGAUUCCUAAAUAUUUAAAACAGUCAACCGUUUCUAUUCCAUUCCCAUACAAUUUAAGAUUAAAUUUGUAUCUGCUCUCUUAUAUGUAAUAAUCAAUUUUGAUUUUGUAACAGAGAGCCUAAAUCCCCAUUCCAGAGCCCAAUCUUCCACUAUUUAUAGUUCUUGCUGUACGUUAGUUGUGAAGAACCUUAUAUUUCUUCCUCUCUUCUAAAUGACUCUAUCAUCAGCAAACAAUGAAACUUCCAUUGAUUAAUCAAUAUUAUUAAAUACCUCAUUAAUGAUUAGGGAAAAAUAAUAUUAGACUAAGAAUACUUCCUUGUGUAGUACCAUUCUGUACCUCAUAACCCGUACUGAAGUCUUUUCCUAGUUGUACAAAAAUCUUUCUUAAAAAAAAUCCUAAUCCAUUUAUACAUUUUUCCUUUAAUACCGAUCUAAUGCAACUUGAUCAGGAGCCCUUCUUUCCACAUCAUAUGCCUUCUUAACAUCUAAACGCACAACUGCUACACUUUCCUUAUUGACUUGGGCUGAGCUACCUGUGUUUUUCCACUGUUUCCCUGUAUGUCUUUCUCUGGGCGGAGCUCUCAUCAGUCCACUUCCUUAGCUCACCUGACGGAGAUCAGGACAACCAGCAAAAGAGUAUUUAGGACCAGCGCUGACAUCUCUUCACCGCCAGUUCAUCAGCUGACCUCACUCAUCUCUUGGAGCCAUCAUUCUAUUUACCUUCAGCUUGCAUUCCCAGGAUGCUGGCCUCUGGGCCCCCCGUGACACAAAUAAACCUGUGUUAAAGAUUCCCUUUGUGUCCAGCAACAUGUCCUUCAUCCUGUCUUCCUUCUCUCACCCCAACCGGUCGCAGCAGAUGGCCC
Molecule: long non-coding RNA, 2527 nt
Organism: Oreochromis niloticus (Nile tilapia)
Lineage: Eukaryota; Metazoa; Chordata; Actinopteri; Cichliformes; Cichlidae
Exons: 3
Source: RefSeq, a predicted model, not a curated record